Molecule: ribosomal RNA, 120 nt
Filed under: Pteropus alecto (black flying fox)
Lineage: Eukaryota; Metazoa; Chordata; Mammalia; Chiroptera; Pteropodidae
Source: RNAcentral
GUCUACAGCCAUGCCACCCUGAACAUGCUUGAUCUCAUCUGAUCUUGGAAGCAAAGCAAGAUUGGGCCUGGUUAGUACUUGGAUGGGAAACCACUUAGGAAGAACGGGGUGCUAUAGGUG